GACGAACGCUGGCGGCGUGCUUAACACAUGCAAGUCGAACGGAAAGGCCUGCUUUCCCUUGUGGAUUGCGGGUACUCGAGUGGCGAACGGGUGAGUAACACGUGAGUGAUCUGCCCCCAACUUGGGUAUAAGCCUGGGAAACUGGGUCUAAUUCCCGAUAGGACUGCAGGGUGGUGCCUGUGGUGGAAAACGAUUUUCUAGUGGUUGGGGAUGAGCUCGCGGCCUAUCAGCUUGUUGGUGGGGUAAUGCCCUACCAAGGCGGCGACGGGUAGCCGGCCUGAGAGGGUGGACGGCCACAUUGGGACUGAGAUACGGCCCAGACGCCUACGGGAGGCAGCAGUGGGGAAUAUUGCACAAUGGGCGGAAGCCGGAUGCAGCGACGCCGCGUGGGGGAUGACGGCCUUCGGGUUGUAAACUCCUUUCGACCGCGAGGAAGCCACCUGGUUGGAAGGGUGGUGACGGUAGUGGUAGAAGAAGCACCGGCUAACUACGUG
Molecule: ribosomal RNA, 494 nt
Filed under: uncultured bacterium
Lineage: Bacteria
Description: partial 16S ribosomal RNA
Rfam family: Bacterial small subunit ribosomal RNA
Source: RNAcentral